AGGAAGAAAAACAUCUCCUCAGAUUUUCCACAUGCCCUCCCCAUCCUGCGGGUCCAGUGCCAAGACUUGGCUGGGGAUAGGGCUGCUGCUGCUCCGGGGAAGGGCGGCCAUGGGGGAAUGUGCCACCACCCCAGGGGAGAAGCAUGGGCCAGAAUUUCAGGAGAUAGUGGGAGAGUGGGAAAUAGGUGUGUAGUUGGUUGGGGGCAGGAACCUAUGCAGAUAGCAGCACUGCUAGGAACCA
Molecule: long non-coding RNA, 241 nt
Filed under: Homo sapiens (human)
Lineage: Eukaryota; Metazoa; Chordata; Mammalia; Primates; Hominidae
Description: HSALNT0166338
Source: RNAcentral